Molecule: ribosomal RNA, 400 nt
Filed under: uncultured bacterium
Lineage: Bacteria
Description: bacterial SSU rRNA
Rfam family: Bacterial small subunit ribosomal RNA
Source: RNAcentral
UCGAGGAUCAUUCGCAAUGAGCGAAAGCUUGACGAUGCGACGCUGCGUGGACGAUGAAGGCCUUCGGGUUGUAAAGUCCUUUCGCGUUGGAACAAGAGAGAUCGGUGAAUAAUCGGUUGAUUUGAGGGUACAACGUAAAGAAGCACCGGCUAACUCCGUGCCAGCAGCUGCGGUAAUACGGAGGGUGCAAGCAUUAAUCGGAAUUAUUGGGCGUAAAGGGCGCGUAGGCGGAUAGAGAAGUCUGAUGUGAAAUACCGGGGCUCAACCUCGGUGCUGCAUUGGAAACUCUUUGUCUGGAGGGUUGAUGGAGAAAACGGAAUUCCAAGUGUAGCGGUGAAAUGCGUAGAUAUUUGGAAGAACACCUGUGGCGAAAGCGGUUUUCUAAUUAAUACCUGACGCU